This 267-nucleotide ribosomal RNA is filed under the name uncultured Glomeromycotina. RNAcentral's name for it is "partial 18S ribosomal RNA". It matches the Rfam family "Eukaryotic small subunit ribosomal RNA", at positions 619 to 888 of the family's 1831-position model. The record is from RNAcentral. Lineage: Eukaryota; Fungi; Glomeromycota.
UUAAAAAGCUCGUAGUUGAAUUUCGGGAUUUAUCCGUCGGUCGGGCUUUUGGGUCUGUACUGGCGUGAUGGAUUCCUACCUUCUGAAUAACCGGCAUGUCAUUAAUUUGGUGCGCCGGGGAAGCAGGACUGUUACCUUGAAAAAAUUAGAGUGCUUAAAGCAGGCUUAUGCCUGAAUACAUUAGCAUGGAAUAAUGAAAUAGGACGGCAUGGUUCUAUUUUGUUGGUUUCUAGGAUCACCGUAAUGAUUAAUAGGGAUAGUUGGGGG